CCAGAUAUAGUGAUCAUAGGUUAAUCAAUCAUUAACCGCCGUCACGGUGGUACCGGGAAUCCGGUGAGAAUCCGGAACUGACGCGCAGCGGUAUUGGGGAACAAGCGUGGCACAAAGACACUGGUCAACGCCGGGAAGUCGCCACGCAAGGCCGAACUGAAAAAGUUCACGCCCCUGAGUCCGAAGACCUGCCAGGGAUACAACUGCACC
Molecule: non-coding RNA, 210 nt
Organism: Marinobacter sp. HL-58
Lineage: Bacteria; Pseudomonadati; Pseudomonadota; Gammaproteobacteria; Pseudomonadales; Marinobacteraceae
Source: Rfam